This 253-nucleotide ribosomal RNA is filed under the name uncultured bacterium. RNAcentral describes it as "partial 16S ribosomal RNA". It matches the Rfam family "Bacterial small subunit ribosomal RNA", at positions 524 to 776 of the family's 1533-position model. The record is from RNAcentral.
UACGGGGGGGCCAAGCGUUGUUCGGAAUUACUGGGCGUAAAGGGCUCGUAGGCGGCCAACUAAGUCAUACGUGAAAUCCCUCGGCUUAACCGGGGAACUGCGUCUGAUACUGGAUGGCUUGAGAUUGGGAGAGGGAUGCGGAAUUCCAGGUGUAGCGGUGAAAUGCGUAGAUAUCUGGAGGAACACCGGUGGCGAAGGCGGCAUCCUGGACCGACACUGACGCUGAGGAGCGAAAGCCAGGGGAGCAAACGGG